Molecule: unclassified non-coding RNA, 390 nt
Filed under: Oreochromis niloticus (Nile tilapia)
Lineage: Eukaryota; Metazoa; Chordata; Actinopteri; Cichliformes; Cichlidae
Description: nontranscribed spacer
Source: RNAcentral
UUGCACUUCAACACACAAACUGCAGAGGGCGCUGCUGCACACUCAGUGGAGGCAGCUUCAUGACAACGCUCCUGAUUGCCUUUUGCUUUUGUGUAAAACAAAAAACAGGAAAACAACAAGAACAAAAUAUUUAGGAAAUACACAAACUUAUUUAUUCUUUAAAUGUAGGAAAUGUCUAUGGCUAGUCCGUCUGGGCUCAGUAGUGAGGAACUUGUUAACCUUGUAGUGUGCAGGGGGCACAGUGUCCACCCAUGUGCAACGACUUUGAAUUCUUAUUCGCUGCUGACUGCGGUCCCCAAGAAUACUGAAUAAAUGCGCAGCAGUGUGCUACCCUGAGCAGGGAACACGAUAUCAUGGAGUUUCUAACAUGGAGCAAGGUGAAGGUGAUGC